Molecule: ribosomal RNA, 253 nt
Filed under: uncultured bacterium
Lineage: Bacteria
Description: partial 16S ribosomal RNA
Rfam family: Bacterial small subunit ribosomal RNA
Source: RNAcentral
UACGUAGGUGACCAGCGUUGUCCGGAUUUACUGGGCGUAAAGAGCGCGCAGGCGGUCGAUUAAGUCGAGUGUGAAAGCCCCCGGCUCAACUGGGGAGGGUCAUUCGAAACUGGUCGACUUGAAGGCAGGAGAGGGAUGCGGAAUUCCCGGUGUAGUGGUGAAAUGCGUAGAUAUCGGGAGGAACACCAGUGGCGAAGGCGGCAUCCUGGCCUGUUCUUGACGCUGAGGCGCGAAAGCUAGGGGAGCAAACGGG